AUAUAACCCACCUGGCUCGGCCAGGGCACAGUGCGGUGCUUCAUACCGUGCAAAAUGCAGCUUUGUCUGCCUAAAGCGGAGCGCUUCAGUUCCGUCAGCAGGCUGUGCCUGGUUUUUACCUACGUACAGUCGACCCAUU
This 139-nucleotide ribosomal RNA is filed under the name Retrovarium gardneri. RNAcentral describes it as "partial 18S ribosomal RNA". The record is from RNAcentral. Lineage: Eukaryota; Metazoa; Platyhelminthes; Trematoda; Opisthorchiida; Cryptogonimidae.